UUGCAUGUGGUUCUCUGCAAAGCGUACAAGUCUUUCGCCUUUUACUAAAGACUUCCGUGCAGAGGAGCAGCGCUUUGUCAGUUGCAUUUUUUGGCAGGCUCUGCCACUGGUAAAGCCU
Takifugu rubripes (torafugu) is the source of this 118-nucleotide small nuclear RNA. Its record names the gene U5. It matches the Rfam family "U5 spliceosomal RNA". Rfam says of the family: U5 RNA is a component of both types of known spliceosome. The precise function of this molecule is unknown, though it is known that the 5' loop is required for splice site selection and p220 binding, and that both the 3' stem-loop and the Sm site are important for Sm protein binding and cap methylation. Lineage: Eukaryota; Metazoa; Chordata; Actinopteri; Tetraodontiformes; Tetraodontidae. The record is from Ensembl.